RNAcentral lists this ribosomal RNA (253 nucleotides) under uncultured bacterium. RNAcentral's name for it is "partial 16S ribosomal RNA". It matches the Rfam family "Bacterial small subunit ribosomal RNA", at positions 524 to 776 of the family's 1533-position model. The record is from RNAcentral.
UACGGAGGGGGCUAGCGUUGUUCGGAAUUACUGGGCGUAAAGCGCACGUAGGCGGCUUUGUAAGUUAGAGGUGAAAGCCCGGGGCUCAACUCCGGAAUUGCCUUUAAGACUGCAUCGCUCGAAUUGUGGAGAGGUAAGUGGAAUUCCGAGUGUAGAGGUGAAAUUCGUAGAUAUUCGGAAGAACACCAGUGGCGAAGGCGACUUACUGGACACAUAUUGACGCUGAGGAGCGAAAGCGUGGGGAGCGAACAGG